RNAcentral lists this ribosomal RNA (490 nucleotides) under uncultured bacterium. RNAcentral's name for it is "bacterial SSU rRNA". It matches the Rfam family "Bacterial small subunit ribosomal RNA", at positions 28 to 512 of the family's 1533-position model. The record is from RNAcentral.
GACUAACGCUGGCGGCGUGCCUAAUACAUGCAAGUCGAACGGGAUUCUUUGAUCAGCUUGCUGAGAGAAGGAUCUAGUGGCGGACGGGUGAGUAACGCGUGGGAAUCUGCCUCUUACUGGGGGAUAACAGUGGGAAACUACUGCUAAUACCGCAUAAGAUCUUCGGAUGAAAGGUGCAACUGCACCGGUAAGAGAUGAGCCCGCGUCCCAUUAGCUAGUUGGUGAGGUAAAGGCUCACCAAGGCGACGAUGGGUAGCCGGCCUGAGAGGGUGAACGGCCACACUGGGACUGAGACACGGCCCAGACUCCUACGGGAGGCAGCAGUAGGGAAUCUUCCGCAAUGGGCGCAAGCCUGACGGAGCGACGCCGCGUGAGUGAUGAAGGCCUUGGUCGUAAAGCUCUGUUCUUGUAGGACGAAUAAGACCAGGGAGUGGAAAGACCUGGUGAUGACUGUACUCAAGGAGAAAGCUCCGGCUAACUACGUGCCACG